AACGUCUAUACCACGCUGAAUACACCGGUUCUCGUCCGAUCACACUGAAGUUAAGGAGCGUCGGGCGCAGUCAGUAUUUGGAUGGGUGAUCGCCAGGGAACACCGGGUGGU
Eumeta japonica is the source of this 111-nucleotide non-coding RNA. Lineage: Eukaryota; Metazoa; Arthropoda; Insecta; Lepidoptera; Psychidae. The record is from the annotation of a GenBank genome assembly.